Molecule: ribosomal RNA, 357 nt
Filed under: uncultured bacterium
Lineage: Bacteria
Description: bacterial SSU rRNA
Rfam family: Bacterial small subunit ribosomal RNA
Source: RNAcentral
GGUAGACCCCCCAGAGUCGGGCAUAGCCAGCCGAAAGGUUGGGUAAUUCCCGAUAGUCCCGAAAGGGUAAAGGUUUUUCGCUCUGGGAGUUGCCUGCGUAGUAUCAGCUAGUUGGUAGGGUAAUGGCCUACCAAGGCUACGACGCUUAGGGGAGCUGAGAGGCUGACCCCCACCGAUGGAACUGCGACACGGUCCAUACUCCUACGGGAGGCUGCAGACGAGAAUAUUCCGUAAUGGGCGAAAAGCCUGACGGAGCGACGCCGCGUGAUUGAUGAAGUGCUUCGGUACGUAAAGAUCUUUUAUCGGGGACGAAGUUUAUUGACGGUACCCGAUGAAUAAGGGGCUCCUAACUCUGUG